AGCAUCUAUAGAUAAAUUGAGCAAACACGACUGUUAUUUAUUACUACAAUAAAUUGAUUUAUGGAUCAUUUUCGAAAAAAUAUAAUAACUUAACUGUUUUAUCUUAUCGAUCGACCAUUAAUGUUAAUAGGCUUAUAAUAAAAGUACCGGGCGGCUCCGCAGAUUCGUUAGUCGAUUCAAAGUGUCAAUAGUUGAUGUAAAUUAUAAUUAUAAAAUGAAGCUCAAGAACGCCUUGAUUUUGUUGUUUGUUUGCACGUGCAAUUCUGUCUCAAUGAAAGCUCUGAGGGAAGAGGAGAUGAUGAAGUUGUCCCUCAAUAAUUAUACUUUAUUGUGGGUCAACACUUUGACUGAAUAUAUUUUGAACAACGAGAGAUAUAAGCGUGACCAAAGCAAAGCCGAGGACUUUUUGCUACGCCGAGAAUACAUACUGUCGCAGUUCAAAAAAUUCCGACGAGUUGGCCGAGCCAAAAGUUACUUUGCAAGAAAUGACGUUUACAAAAACACGUUGAGAAGACGAAGCCUGCCACCGCCUAUCAAGCCUGAUUUGAGAAACGAUGUGCAAAUCACUAAUAUUUAGCCGGCGAUUUAAUAUCUUAUCAGCGAACAGCUGCCGGUUUUUGUACAGUCUACAGCUCACGCAAGCUCCCUAAUUGUAUAGUUUUUUCUAAUAAAAUAUUUAAAUUAAAUUUAUUAGUUUGCAUGUAAAAUAAAAAAAA
This is a long non-coding RNA of Cotesia glomerata, 716 nucleotides long. RefSeq lists it as uncharacterized. The transcript has 2 exons. The record is from RefSeq and is a predicted model, not a curated record. NCBI's taxonomy places the organism in Eukaryota, Metazoa, Arthropoda, Insecta, Hymenoptera, Braconidae.